Molecule: ribosomal RNA, 392 nt
Filed under: uncultured bacterium
Lineage: Bacteria
Description: bacterial SSU rRNA
Rfam family: Bacterial small subunit ribosomal RNA
Source: RNAcentral
GACGAACGCUGGCGGCGCGCCUUACGCAUGCAAGUCGCACGGACCUUCGGGUUAGUGGCGGACGGCUGAGUAACGCGUAGGUAACCUAUCCAGUGGUGGGGGACAACUCGCCGAAAGGCGAGCUAAUACCGCAUGUGUUCCCGGUGUGAGAUUCACCGGGACGAAAGCCGCAAGGCGCCACUUGAGGGGCCUGCGUCCUAUCAGGUAGUUGGUGGGGUAACGGCCUACCAAGCCUAUUACGGGUAGCNGGUCUGAGAGGACGACCAGCCAGAAGGGGACUGAGACACGGCCCCUACUCCUACGGGAGGCAGCAGCGAGGAAUCUUGGGCAAUGGGCGAAAAGCCUGACCCAGCGACGCCGCGUGAGGGAUGAAGGCCUUCGGUCGUAAACCU